This 460-nucleotide ribosomal RNA is filed under the name uncultured bacterium. RNAcentral's name for it is "partial 16S ribosomal RNA". It matches the Rfam family "Bacterial small subunit ribosomal RNA", at positions 338 to 795 of the family's 1533-position model. The record is from RNAcentral.
CCUACGGGGGGCUGUAGUGAGGAAUAUUGGUCAAUGGACGAGAGUCUGAACCAGCCAAGUAGCGUGAAGGAUGACUGCCCUAUGGGUUGUAAACUUCUUUUAUAAAGGAAUAAAACGAGGCACGUGUGCCUUUUUGCAUGUACUUUAUGAAUAAGGAUCGGCUAACUCCGUGCCAGCAGCCGCGGUAAUACGGAGGAUCCGAGCGUUAUCCGGAUUUAUUGGGUUUAAAGGGAGCGUAGAUGGGUUGUUAAGUCAGUUGGGAAAGUUUUCGGCUCAACCGUAAAAUUGCAAUUGAUACUGGCAGUCUUGAGUACAGUUGAGGUAGGCGGAAUUCGUGGUGUAGCGGUGAAAUGCUUAGAUAUAACGAAGAACCCCGAUUGCGAAGGCAGCUUACUAAACUGUGACUGACAUUGAUGCUCGAAAGUGUGGGUAUCAAACAGGAUUAGAUACCCGGGUAGUC